Molecule: unclassified non-coding RNA, 430 nt
Filed under: Hevea brasiliensis (rubber tree)
Lineage: Eukaryota; Viridiplantae; Streptophyta; Magnoliopsida; Malpighiales; Euphorbiaceae
Source: RNAcentral
CUCUGCAUGGAUACGAGCAAUGCCUCUUGCUGCCCCUAGAGCAAUUUUCAUUCUGGUAUCCCAAUCUAGGGAGAUCCGCUCGCCUCCUCUUUUCCCAUGUAGCAUAGAAGAAACACUGCCCUGACUGUAAUAAUCAUACACCAUCAGCUUCUCAUCUUUGGAAUAGUAGUAAGCCCUCAGCUCAACCACAUUCUCAUGCUUUAUACUUCCAACAACCUCCAUCUGCUGCUCAAAAUCCCGCUUCCCGACGCUUACUUCCUUCAACCUCUUCACCACCACUGUGGUUGCAUCCUCCAGUAUUGCUUUAUAUGCAAUACCAAAUGUACCCUUUCCCAGUACCUCUGCUGACGCCCUCAAUAAAUCCUCCAGAUCAAAAGCAUAGUUACAUCCCUCAAAGAAAACCAAUCUAUUAUUAGCAUCCUGAGUCCUU